This 244-nucleotide unclassified non-coding RNA is filed under the name uncultured Leotiomycetes. RNAcentral describes it as "sequence contains 5.8S rRNA gene". The stretch from base 1 to 53 matches the Rfam family "5.8S ribosomal RNA", at positions 102 to 154 of the family's 154-position model. Lineage: Eukaryota; Fungi; Ascomycota; Leotiomycetes. The record is from RNAcentral.
GAACGCACAUUGCGCCCGGUGGUAUUCCGCCGGGCAUGCCUGUUCGAGCGUCAUUUAAACCAAUCCAGCCUUGUGCUUGGGUCUUGGGCCUUUCGCCUCUGGGCGGGCCUCAAAAUCAGUGGCGGUGCCCUCUGGCUCUAAGCGUAGUAAUACUCCUCGCUAUAGACGUCAGGUGGUAUCUUGCCAAUAACCCCCAAUUUUUUAAGGUUGACCUCGGAUCAGGUAGGGAUACCCGCUGAACUUA